UACGUAGGGUGCAAGCGUUGUCCGGAAUUAUUGGGCGUAAAGAGCUCGUAGGCGGCCUGUCGCGUCGGCUGUGAAAACCCAGGGCUUAACUCUGGGCUUGCUUUCGAUACGGGCAGACUAGAGGUAUGCAGGGGAGAACGGAAUUCCUGGUGUAGCGGUGAAAUGCGCAGAUAUCAGGAGGAACACCAAUGGCGAAGGCAGCUCGCUGGGACGGUACUGACGCUAAGGCGCGAAAGCGUGGGGAGCAAACAGG
This 253-nucleotide ribosomal RNA is filed under the name uncultured bacterium. RNAcentral's name for it is "partial 16S ribosomal RNA". It matches the Rfam family "Bacterial small subunit ribosomal RNA", at positions 524 to 776 of the family's 1533-position model. The record is from RNAcentral.